UCUGGGRAUCUGGCUUAUGGAGGGGGAUAACCAUUGGAAACGGUGGCUAAUACCGCAUGAUGUCGCAAGACCAAAGUGGGGGACCUUARGGCCUCACGCCAUGAGAUGAACCCAGAUGAGAUUAGCUAGUAGGUGCGGUAAUGGCGUACCUAGGCGACGAUCUCUAGCUGGUCUGAGAGGAUGACCAGCCACACUGGAACUGAGAGACGGUCCAGACUCCUACGGGAGGCAGCAGUGGGGAAUAUUGCACAAUGGGCGGAAGCCUGAUGCAGCCAUGCCGCGUGUGUGAAGAAGGCCUUAGGGUUGUAAAGCACUUUCAGCGGGGAGGAAGGCGGUAAGAGUAAUAUGCUUAUCRAUUGACGUUACCCGCAAAAGAAGCACCGGCUAACUCCGUGCCAGCAGCCGCGGUAAUACGGAGGGUGCGAGCGUUAAUCGGAAUAACUGGGCGUAAAGRGCAUGUAGGCGGUAAGUUAAGUCAGAUGUGAAAUCCCCGAGCUUAACUUGGGAACGGCAUUUGAGACUGGCUGGCUAGAGUUUUGUAGAGGGGGGUAGAAUUCCAGGUGUAGCGGUGAAAUGCGUAGAGAUCUGGAGGAAUACCGGUGGCGAAGGCGGCCCCCUGGACAAGGACUGACGCUGAGGUGCGAAAGCGUGGGUAGCAAACAGGAUUAGAUACCCUGGUAGUCCACGCUGUAAACGAUGUCGAUUUGGAGGUUGUGACCUAGUGUUAUGG
Molecule: ribosomal RNA, 730 nt
Filed under: Candidatus Regiella insecticola
Lineage: Bacteria; Pseudomonadati; Pseudomonadota; Gammaproteobacteria; Enterobacterales; Enterobacteriaceae
Description: bacterial SSU rRNA
Rfam family: Bacterial small subunit ribosomal RNA
Source: RNAcentral